This is a non-coding RNA of Melampsora americana, 81 nucleotides long. Lineage: Eukaryota; Fungi; Basidiomycota; Pucciniomycetes; Pucciniales; Melampsoraceae. The record is from the annotation of a GenBank genome assembly.
GGAGCUAUAGUCUAGCGGUUAAGACGACAGUUUGGAGGCUUGACAUCCUCAACACCUGGGUUCGAUUCCCAGGUGUGACCA